This 63-nucleotide non-coding RNA is filed under the name Leeia speluncae. Lineage: Bacteria; Pseudomonadati; Pseudomonadota; Betaproteobacteria; Neisseriales; Leeiaceae. The record is from RNAcentral.
AAGCGAAACCGCCGGAAGGCGGUCUGCCCAGCGUGGUUGCUGGGUACUGAUGAGCAGCCGGAG